Molecule: long non-coding RNA, 946 nt
Organism: Halichondria panicea
Lineage: Eukaryota; Metazoa; Porifera; Demospongiae; Suberitida; Halichondriidae
Exons: 3
Source: RefSeq, a predicted model, not a curated record
AUUCAAGGUAACCUUAUAUUAUUAUGUGCAGUACACAAUAAUCACACUCUUACUUUUGUACUUGUACUCGUGGUAUUCCGGGAGCCAAGGUGCCAUAUUUUGAGAUACCAUUCUCAGAAUGAUGAGCUGUCCUGCAGUACAUGGAGCACAUUGUUGGCUGAACCUGAUUGCAUGGCAUGACGUACGUGAUGGGACAAAGAUCCUCACCACUCGACUAGCCAGCUGCUCCUCAGGACUCACUCAUGUGCUGUAGCUCACCUUACAGUACAUGUAGAGUCUACACAUAUAAAAGAGGUAGGUGGGAGAGGAUAUCCACGACCAAUUUGGAAGGCUCAUGAGGCUCUUGCAGCAUAGAUUAUAUAUAUUCUCACAAAAUUGUUGAGCUUUAAUUUGCUUGUAUAUUUUAACCUCUAUGGUUUGCAGAUCCUCCCCUUUUACUCAUAAUUAGAUGGGCUGCUCCAGCUCUAGAAAAGAAAAGAAGAGACCAGCCUAGCUCCUGCACACUGAAUAUCAUUAUACUGUGUCAUCUCAGUAUACGUUGAUGGGGAUCUGGAACCCUAUUUCUUGUAACCUGGCAGGCUUACAAGCAGGCCGCCAUAAUUAUCAUGAAGGUGAUAAGAUUUUUUCUCAUGACUAGCCUUGAUUCUAAAACAUAAUUAUGAUGUAGGCAUUUAGCUCUCUGAUGCAACCGUGGUAUAUAUAAUGUGAUACCAAUAGUUUGUGCAUUAAUUAUUAAUUUUGGAAAACAACAAACAGUCUUGAACACCUAUUAACUUAGUGAUUAACUGUUCAUAAAUCAUUUUGCAUAGUCAAAAUUGUAGGUAACACAAUAAAGCUAAGACAAUAAUUAUAGUUAAUUAUAGUUAUAGCUAAUGUGUGUAAUUGUGUCGUUCUUACCGUGUCCGUUCUAUGUUGUCUUUGUGUUUACAUAGCAUUGUUUAAAAUA